UACGGGGGGGGCAAGCGUUGUUCGGAAUUACUGGGCGUAAAGGGCGUGUAGGCGGCCAACUAAGUCCGACGUGAAAUCCCCAGGCUUAACCUGGGAACUGCGUCGGAUACUGGAUGGCUUGAAUCCGGGAGAGGGAUGCAGAAUUCCAGGUGUAGCGGUGAAAUGCGCAGAUAUCAGGAAGAACACCCGUGGCUAAGGCGGCUCUCUAGUACGGUACUGACGCUGAGACGCGAAAGCGUGGGGAGCGAACAGG
RNAcentral lists this ribosomal RNA (253 nucleotides) under uncultured bacterium. RNAcentral describes it as "partial 16S ribosomal RNA". It matches the Rfam family "Bacterial small subunit ribosomal RNA", at positions 524 to 776 of the family's 1533-position model. The record is from RNAcentral.